AUCGAUGAAGAACGCAGCGAAAUGCGAUAAGUAAUGUGAAUUGCAGAAUUCAGUGAAUCAUCGAAUCUUUGAACGCACCUUGCGCCCUUUGGUAUUCCGAAGGGCAUGCCUGUUUGAGUGUCAUUAAAUUCUCAACUGUGAUGGGUUUAUUCACAUCAUCAGCUUGGAUCUGAGGGCUUUUGUCGGACUCUAACGAGGUCGACUCCCUUUAAAUUUAUUAGCGGAUUUAGCCAUCGUGGAUACGCCUCGAUUUGAUAAUAUCUAUGUCGUCGCGCUGAAGCGGUAAUCUGCUCCUAACCGUCCUAGGACAAUUUUCAUGACCAUUUGACCUCAAAUCAGGUAGGACUACCCGCUGAACUUAAGCAUAUCAAUAAGCGGAGGAAAAGAAACUAACAAGGAUUCCCCUAGUAACUGCGAGUGAAGCGGGAAAAGCUCAAAUUUAAAAUCUGGCGGUUUCACCGUCCGAGUUGUAAUCUAGAGAAGCGUCUUCCGCGUUGGACCGUGUACAAGUCUCUUGGAAUAGAGCGUCAUAGAGGGUGAGAAUCCCGUCUUUGACACGGACUACCAGUGCUUUUGUGAUGCGCUCUCGACGAGUCGAGUUGUUUGGGAAUGCAGCUCAAAAUGGGUGGUAAAUUCCAUCUAAAGCUAAAUAUUGGGGAGAGACCGAUAGCGAACAAGUACCGUGAGGGAAAGAUGAAAAGAACUUUGGAAAGAGAGUUAAACAGUACGUGAAAUUGUUGAAAGGGAAACGCUUGAAGUCAGUCGCGUCCUUUGAGACUCAGCCUUGCUUCUGCUUGGUGUAUUUCUCGUUGGACGGGUCAACAUCAGUUUUGACCGUUGGAAAAAGGCUGGAGGAAUGUGGCUUCUCCGGAAGUGUUAUAGCCUCUAGUCGUAUACGACGGUUGGGACUGAGGAACUCAGCACGCCGCAAGGCCGGGGUUUUACCCACGUACGUGCUUAGGAUGUUGGCAUAAUGGCUUUAAUCGACCCGUCUUGAAACACGG
RNAcentral lists this ribosomal RNA (1004 nucleotides) under uncultured fungus. RNAcentral's name for it is "eukaryotic LSU rRNA". The stretch from base 326 to 1004 matches the Rfam family "Eukaryotic large subunit ribosomal RNA", at positions 1 to 664 of the family's 3401-position model. Lineage: Eukaryota; Fungi. The record is from RNAcentral.